CCUACGGGUGGCAGCAGUGGGGAAUAUUGGGCAAUGGGCGCAAGCCUGACCCAGCAACGCCGCGUGAAGGAAGAAGGCUCUCUGGUUGUAAACUUCUUUUCUCAGGGACGAAGAACGUGACGGUACCUUAGGACUAAGCCACGGCUAACUACGUGCCAGCAGCCGCGGGAAUACGUAGGUGGCAAGCGUUAUCCGGAUUCAUUGGGUGUAAAGGGCGUGUAGGCGGGAGCGAAAGUCAGAUGUGAAAACUCAGGGCUCAACCCUGGGCCUGCAUUUGAUACUGUGCUUCUUGAGUGCGGGUGAGGCAAUCGGAAUGCAGGGUGUAGCGGUGAAAUGCGUAGAUAUACGGAGGAACACCAGUGGCGAAGGCGGAUUGCUGGACAGUAACUGACGCUGAGGCGCGAAAGCGUGGGGAGCAAACAGGAUUAGAUACCCCAGUAGUC
Molecule: ribosomal RNA, 443 nt
Filed under: uncultured bacterium
Lineage: Bacteria
Description: partial 16S ribosomal RNA
Rfam family: Bacterial small subunit ribosomal RNA
Source: RNAcentral